This 76-nucleotide transfer RNA is filed under the name Markhamia cauda-felina. RNAcentral describes it as "tRNA-Met". The record is from RNAcentral. Lineage: Eukaryota; Viridiplantae; Streptophyta; Magnoliopsida; Lamiales; Bignoniaceae.
UGAUCGUAAGUCCCAUCACAACGCAAGCGAGACAACACAGUCAUCGCCCAGUCGUGAUAAGGUCGUAGUAGACGCU